RNAcentral lists this transfer-messenger RNA (354 nucleotides) under Clostridia. RNAcentral's name for it is "CAG-793 sp013333035 Standard tmRNA". It matches the Rfam family "transfer-messenger RNA". Rfam says of the family: Bacterial tmRNA, also known as 10Sa RNA or SsrA, is named for its dual tRNA and mRNA-like properties. Its role is to liberate the mRNA from a stalled ribosome. Lineage: Bacteria; Bacillati; Bacillota. The record is from RNAcentral. RNAcentral also lists the same sequence under 3 other names.
GGGGAUGUAAAGGCUUCGACAAAUUAUUUGAAAUAUUGAUAGCGAGUAGUGGAUGGUUGCUUUGGCCACUAUAAAAAAGCAAAAUUAAAUAUAAAAGCUGACAAUAGAGAAUUAGCUUACGCUGCCUAAGCGCAGUGUCAUCUUAUAAUUAAAGCCUACUGUUUUUUAUAAGAUGUCGACUAAAGUAGGAAACAAAGGUAUCUGCUUCAUUCAGACACUGGGUAACUUAAUUGAAUAUACUAAAACAAUUUUGUUUAUUUUAAAAUUUUAGUGAACAAAUAAAAUAAACUGCACUCGGAGAAAUCAAUAUGGAAAAUCUUUUGGACAUGGGUUCAACUCCCAUCAUCUCCACCA